Molecule: long non-coding RNA, 3569 nt
Organism: Equus caballus (horse)
Lineage: Eukaryota; Metazoa; Chordata; Mammalia; Perissodactyla; Equidae
Source: Ensembl
GUGUAGCCAGCCCAGUAGUUCUAAGAAAUGAAAUCCCAAAUCUGAUACAUGAAGGGCAUCGAGAAUUGAAUAACUGUUCAAAAGCAGGUUCUGGACUGCUUCGCUUCAAUAAAGAUGUAAAGAACAAAGGAAUAGCGUGCAACUACUGCACCAUCAAUAGAUGCUUGAAAUACAAAAGCUGGAAAAGCGGAGAAGUGUGGAACCUGGCAAAACGUUAAUACCUGCUUUGCAGAGAGGAAAGGCGCAUCACGGAGACGUGGAAUCGGAAAGGGCCCCAAGAGGUCAUCCUGUGCCACGGCUUAAAUUCUCUCUGGCUGGGGACAUCUAGUCUCUUAUUUAAAAUGUCCAGAGAAAUAUGACAGAUCGUGUUCCAGAGAAAGAAGAGAAUGUGCUUUUACUUGUGGCAGCCACUGGACAGCUGACCCACUGGGCGUGGUAAAUCAGGGUUGAAAACAAUGACAUACAAAGAAUUUCCGAACUCAUCAGACCUCCUCUGAUGUACAAGACUGGCAUCUGCCUGCAUGCCAACAGGAAUCUUAUGAAACCAAAAUUUCAGCCCAAAGAGAUCUGGACCCUGUAACAGGAAUUCUUAUAAUUCUCAAGCCAGAACUCAUAAGUUUCAGCUACUUCGAUGAAGGGAGAAGAGGCCAUUUGGGGGGAUCCCCUGGUCGAUGUGGUCAUCGUGACAACCUGUGCUGCUUGUUAGGAAAUAAUAUCCAAGUGGAAGGGAUGUUCAUAGUUUAUAGUCAUAAGCUAAGAGAAUUUAAUACCAGACUGAAAUUAAAACACACGCACACACACCCAUACACACACACUUGGAGCCUCCAGGAAUGUGAGAGACAUAAGAUAACAGCAUUUGUAUCACAAUGCCAAUUUAUUAAUUAAGACCGAAAUGUGUAAGAUUUCCAUUUUCGAUGAAGUUGCAUCAGUAAUGUCCCUGCAUCCAAAAUGUCCUCAGUUCCUAUUAAUAAGGCUAAAGGGAGAUUCUUUGCAAAAUGGUUGGAAUGUUUUGAGAUUUCUGAACCCCUUGGGAACACUAGGCAGAAUAAUGGACCAGAUUUAAAGGGAGAUUCUUUGCAAAAUGGUUGGAAUGUUUUGAGAUUUCUGAACCCCUUGGGAACACUAGGCAGAAUAAUGGACCAGAUUUAAUGAUCUCUAUAUCGUCCAUGCUGGUUGCCUAGACACAUCCCUCAAAGAUUAGUAGAUGCUGGUUUUGUCCAUUUAAUCAAAGAGAGGAUAUAUAAAAUUUAGACACUGUUUCAUUUCUGGGUGCUUUUCAGGGAAGUGCCAGAGAUUUCAGGGGACCUGGGGAGUUGUUUCAUCUGUUGUCAGGGCAUUCCUGUGAGGAAUACAAUUUGGUACAAAAGUACACUAAAUACAUAUGGUAGUCAGCGUGACCGUAUCAAUGCUAUAGCUGAAGAAAUGGAAUCGAAGACUCAGAGUUGAGGCCAACGUUUGUAACGAUGAUCCCUUCAUUUCAGUCUAAGAGACUGUCUUGGUCAGAACAAUCUCCUGUACGGGGACAUGAGGCUGCCAAGCAAAGGCCGUUUGUAAUGAGACUUUUUCUUUAGUUACAAGAUUGUCUUCUAAAUUAGUUGAAUCUAUGGGCCACAAAUAUAGAACUGCCUGACCCAACUUGACUUUAACAUGGCAACACACCAUGCUAUGUCUGAAAUGUAUGCAAGGAUGGGGUUUUAGCUCCAUUUUUUUUAAGAGGGUUUGAUAGUUAUUUGUGCCUAGGCAGCCUAAUCCCUGAAGGACUGGCCACUGUCUGUAAGUGAGAGCUGUCCCUAGCUGGCCCCAUAAAAGAGGAACUGGUGGCUAUAUUUGGGAUGGCAUGAGGCAACAGGACAAGCGCUGCUCAUGUUGCUACUGUCACACCUUCUGAGAUUCAAAGUGUUCUUCCAUCCUAGACUGUAAAAGGAAAGGCCCAGUUUCCUUGGGAAAAGGGAAGUAACUAGCUGGUGUAACCCAUUAGGAUGCACGGUACCCUGCCUGGGUGGUGAGCAGCCCUUCACAUUUCUCUUUGAAUAUGCAUUCUCUUUUCCCCACUGUCUCCAUGCAUAUUCUCUUUGGAUACACAUUUCUUCCCUCCCUCGUGGAGGGAAGGGGGUGGCAUUAAAACAUGCUUGUACUUUAUCUGUGAGUCUGUGACUCUGGGUAAAGGUUCACUCACUAAGAGGAAGAAAAUCCUAUUUUAAGUUCCACCUCUGGAACUAGGAACUUAAUCCUUGAUUAGACAAAUAGUAAGGUCAGUGAGUAAUAAUUAGAACCUGUUCCUAGAACCCCACCACAUUAGAAGGUCUUACGCACACAUCGUGUCUCUUACGGGGAAAGGAAUGACAGACAUGCUCACUUCCAUGUGGCUACUUGACAAGGAUCCAAAAUAACACAAUGACUCCAUGGAUAUUUCUAUAGGUUUUUUUUCCUGUUACUCUUUUUGUUUGAUGUUUAUGUGAAAUCACAGAGAACAAUCACUGUUCACUUAGUGAAUGUACAUUGAGUCUCAAAGAUGUGCUAAGGGAAUUUUGAAGUAUAGAAAGAAACAUGGUACUGUGAGCCAUCAGAUUAAUGCCAGCCCCUAUUUAAUUAUAGGUAUGCUAUGAUGUUUUUAUACAUCGAGCCCAUCUUAUAAAUCAAGUAAAUAAAUAAAUAUAGUUGACAAUAGCUCGUGCUCAUCUGUGGACUAUUUAGACAAUUGCAAGUGAAAAUGAAUAUUUUUUCUUUCCAUAUUUUACCAAAUUUGCUAAUUUCAUGAUGAGGAGUGCCUGCUUAUUUCCAGGGUUUAAAUGUUAAAAGUCUCUUGAUGAACACGGAAUAAAUUAAUUGGUAAAUUAGAAAAAAGUUUAUGAAAUCAAAGUACAAAAUACGCUCUUUGCCUCAUGUACAAUGCAAUACUGUGUUCAUAACCAGUAAACGCUCUGAAGUUGUUGCCAUGUGCAUGCUAGAUUGGAGAAACAGUUGAAACCUUGCACAAGGGUGAUUUUUUUCCCUUUGAUUCACAGAAUGGAAAUAACAUAAGCCAUGUCUGAUUUUUGAAAGUAUAAACUGAAGUAUGAAAAAGGUGAGGGACCCUUCACUGCAUCAAGACUUAGAGUUAGAACCAGACAUAAUGAGACAACUGGAAAGCCAGCUAGAAGAAAGUUUACAAGACUAUGACCUCAAACUAUAAUCUUCAAAGAGGAAAAGAGAUAAAUUAAGAAAACAACUUGUCAGGCCCAGAGGCUCUUUGCUGAGCUGAACAUGAACCCAAGAAGAUAUUAGUCUGAAGUUCCUGGGGGCCAUCAUAAGAAGAUCCAUCCAAGAGGGAAGCCAACAAAUGAGAGACAAAUGAAGAAAAGAGACCACAGAAAUGGAGACCAGCUGGUGGACAUGUUUUGGAUUUACAGUGCAUCAGAGCAGUCUGAGAUGAGUGAACACAAUGGAUUAUAGAGGUUCCAUUUCAGUAGACCAAGCACAGACUUCCAGGAAGCCUUUGAUAGGCAGGCUUUGCUGGGUUGCCUCCACCAUUCCAUCAAGCUUCCUCUGACUCUGUCUGAUAUGAUUGACAAGUAUGCAGAAUUUUAAAG